RNAcentral lists this ribosomal RNA (506 nucleotides) under uncultured Glomeraceae. Its description in RNAcentral is "SSU rRNA". It matches the Rfam family "Eukaryotic small subunit ribosomal RNA", at positions 569 to 1078 of the family's 1831-position model. The record is from RNAcentral. Lineage: Eukaryota; Fungi; Glomeromycota; Glomeromycetes; Glomerales; Glomeraceae.
CGCAGCCGCGGUAAUUCCAGCUCCAAUAGCGUAUAUUAAAGUUGUUGCAGUUAAAAAGCCCGUAGUUGAAUUUCGGGGUCAGUAGGUUGGUCAUGCCACUGGUAUGUACUGGCCUCACUGAUUCCUCCUUCCUGAUGAGCCGUAAUGCCAUUAAUUUGGUGUUGCGAGGAAUCUGGACUGUUACUUUGAAAAAUUAGAGUGUUUAAAGCAGGCUAACGCUUGAAUACAUUAGCAUGGAAUAAUGAAAUAGGACGUUCGAUCUUAUUUUGUUGGUUUCUAAGAUUGACGUAAUGAUUAAUAGGGAUAGUUGGGGGCAUUAGUAUUCAAUUGUCAGAGGUGAAAUUCUUGGAUUUAUUGAAGACUAACUACUGCGAAAGCAUUUGCCAAGGAUGUUUUCAUUAAUCAAGAACGAAAGUUAGGGGAUCGAAGACGAUCAGAUACCGUCGUAGUCUUAACCAUAAACUAUGCCGACUAGGGAUCGGAUGAUGUUAAUUUUUAAUGACUCA